Molecule: ribosomal RNA, 459 nt
Filed under: uncultured bacterium
Lineage: Bacteria
Description: partial 16S ribosomal RNA
Rfam family: Bacterial small subunit ribosomal RNA
Source: RNAcentral
CCUACGGGAGGCAGCAGUGAGGAAUAUUGGUCAAUGGCCGAGAGGCUGAACCAGCCAAGUCGCGUGUGGGAAGACGGCCCUACGGGUUGUAAACCUCUUUUGUCGGGGAGCAAAGCGAGUCACGUGUGACUCAUUGAGAGUACCCGAAGAAAAAGCAUCGGCUAACUCCGUGCCAGCAGCCGCGGUACUACGGAGGAGGCGAGCGUUAUCCUGAUUGAUUGGGUUUAAAGGGUGCGCAGGCGGAGGUGCAAGUCAGCGGUCAAGGUGCGGGGCUCAACCCCGUACUGCCGUUGAAACUGCAUGCCUUGAGUGCGCUAGAGGUAUGCGGAAUGCGUGGUGUAGCGGUGAAAUGCAUAGAUAUCACGCAGAACUCCGAUUGCGAAGGCAGCAUACCGGCGCGCAACUGACGCUCAUGCACGAAAGCGUGGGUAUCGAACAGGAUUAGAUACCCUUGUAGUC